This 772-nucleotide small RNA is filed under the name Drosophila ananassae. Its description in RNAcentral is "GF26709". Lineage: Eukaryota; Metazoa; Arthropoda; Insecta; Diptera; Drosophilidae. The record is from RNAcentral.
AUAGUUAAAAUAAUUAAAAUUGGUUGAAAAUUAAAUUAAAUGAGGGUUUAUCGUUCUUUUUGUGUUAAAUUCAAAAUGAAACUACAGUGAAACCUGUUACGGUGACGACCAUGGAUAAUUUGGGAUGAUUAGAAUUAGAUUGCUCGCUUUAAGUUCGAUACUCUCUGGAAUUUGGAGGCGUCCUUAAACAUAGGCUUUAUCCCUAUUGGAUGUUUUUAUUUGGACCUUAAUGGGCCCUCUUGUCCAGGAAUAUCAGGAUCUAAGCCAGAUACUCCUAUAGGAGUAGAGAUCUCCUGUGACUGCCUGGAAGGACUUGAAGAAAGAAGAAAAGCUGGCCAGUCUAGAAGGAUGUGUUAGGACCUUAAAGGGCUCCCUGGCCAGGAAUAAAUGGGUUUACGCUAAAAGGACUUUAAAGGAAGGACAGAACUAUCGUCCUAAAAUUCCUGAUGGGUUUCUUUUUCAAAAUUCAAAAAGUCUUCCUUGGACAGAAGCUAUUUUCGAACCACCAUUCUGGACUGUUCGGCAACACUUUACAUUCCGAAGUGCAAAAUUCCAAGUGGAUCAAGAUUAGGAAGCACGCUGAGGUCCCUGAAACACACAUUCCACACACUCUUUACACUCUACACACUCCCUACCAGGAAGCGGACUAUAAACUACUGGCUUGUUAUUUUGUUCUUUGGCCAUUCGGCUGUUUAUUAAUAAUUGGCAACUAACACUAGAUCUAAAUUUCGACCAUCAAUAAACCAGCUAGCUUGGCUCUGUAACACAUUCA